AGUGAACGCUGGCGGCAGGCCUAACACAUGCAAGUCGAGCGGUAACAGGAGAGAGCUUGCUCUCUUGCUGACGAGCGGCGGACGGGUGAGUAAUGCAUCGGAAUCUGCCCUGACGUGGGG
This 120-nucleotide ribosomal RNA is filed under the name uncultured bacterium. RNAcentral's name for it is "partial 16S ribosomal RNA". It matches the Rfam family "Bacterial small subunit ribosomal RNA", at positions 29 to 141 of the family's 1533-position model. The record is from RNAcentral.